UGUUCGAUUAAAAAGAAAGGAAAAUCUUACUAUAACAAUAAGUUGGUCUGAAGUAGAGAUUAGAAAGAAAGAUUGAAGAAGGAAGGUGAGAAGAAGCUUGGAUCUUUUCAGGAAAUUAAUGCUUUUGGAAGAUUGAAGAAGGAAGGAACUGAGAAGAAGCUUGGAUCUUUUCUGGAAAUUAAUGCUUUUGGAACCAGUUUCGGGCCGGGCUCAAUUAUUGACAUCACCAAGCGGCCAAGUCAUUGUAUAAUGUUUUAUUCUCAAC
Molecule: long non-coding RNA, 265 nt
Filed under: Olea europaea (common olive)
Lineage: Eukaryota; Viridiplantae; Streptophyta; Magnoliopsida; Lamiales; Oleaceae
Description: long non-coding RNA (OEUR_LNC004142)
Source: RNAcentral